UCAUUCGGUCAUACCAUGGUGGAAACACCAGAUCCCAUCCGAACUCUGAAGUUAAGCAUCAUUGGGCUUGCCUAGUACUGAGGUGGGGGACCACUCGGGAACCGUAAGUGCUGAAUGAC
This is a ribosomal RNA of Ceratocystis platani, 119 nucleotides long. The record is from Rfam. NCBI's taxonomy places the organism in Eukaryota, Fungi, Ascomycota, Sordariomycetes, Microascales, Ceratocystidaceae.